GCGAAAGGAAGUUCACUGUAGAGGUUACUUACUGAGUGUUAAUCACUCAUCCUAUCACCUCGGGGAAGGUCUGAGACAAGAGCCAAUCGCUGUCUUCACAGGACGUCAUCUGAACAGAUGAGCGAGCGCACAGGAAAGAUGGGUCAGAACGCGGAGCUAACGCACGAGACGUUGGAACGCAGGAUAGCGAGCCAGCUGAUGCGAUCCCCGUUGACUUGGAAACGCUCGCGGCUGGCGCAAUGAGUUCAAUGUGUGAACUGGCACGAGAUGCUAGAACCCAAUUCAGACUACUCUCCUAUCGC
Molecule: RNase P RNA, 302 nt
Filed under: Carassius auratus (goldfish)
Lineage: Eukaryota; Metazoa; Chordata; Actinopteri; Cypriniformes; Cyprinidae
Description: Nuclear RNase P (ENSCARG00000028269.1)
Rfam family: Nuclear RNase P
About the family: Ribonuclease P (RNase P) is a ubiquitous endoribonuclease, found in archaea, bacteria and eukarya as well as chloroplasts and mitochondria.
Source: Rfam by way of RNAcentral